AUUCGUUCAUAUUCAUAGUGGUGGUAGAGGGAAACUCGAUCCUAGAAGCUUAAAAUGUUUCUUUAUAGGAUAUUAUUCCACUUAAAAGGUUACAAUGUUAUUAUUAUGGGUCGGUCAAAGACCCAAUACGGGAAAAAUCCAAACAUACAUCCCAACCAUGAAAAGUCCAAUCCAAAUUAUCCAAUGUAUAUAAUUAAUACACAUGAGACUUAAUAUGCACCUUUCUUAUCUUACAAUUUCACUUCACUCAUAUUGGACUCUAUAACUGAAUUGGUGUUGGAGUGUUAGCCUUGCAGACCCACUCCCGCACCAGAGUAUCAGAGAUCAACGACAUCACACUUGGAUUCCAUUAUCAUCAAUCAAACAUAAUUAUGGUUCAAUCACAGAACAGUGACAUCGUCUGUGGCAACCAACUUCUGAAUCCUACUAAAUUCCAUGAUCGAAUCUUAUUUAUUCCAGAGCUUGAUCACAAUGGAACCACAAUUGGAAAAAUAAAUUUGUCCCCUGCCACAUGUUAUAGAGAUCUUCAUCCAAACCUCUCAGUCCAACCAUCAAUUCCAAUUAUAGUGACUAAGGAAACCAAGAGAGAAUCAUUGCAACAGUAACGAUCUCCUACCACCAGAUCUCACCCUAUCUGAAGAUAAAUUGUAAGAACCUGUGAACCGAUAAGAUCACCACACAAUGUGUAAGCCUUCAAAUAA
RNAcentral lists this long non-coding RNA (701 nucleotides) under Lathyrus oleraceus (garden pea). Its description in RNAcentral is "Pisum sativum (pea) long non-coding RNA (PSAT_LNC026636)". Lineage: Eukaryota; Viridiplantae; Streptophyta; Magnoliopsida; Fabales; Fabaceae. The record is from RNAcentral.